RNAcentral lists this microRNA precursor (107 nucleotides) under Musa acuminata subsp. malaccensis (wild Malaysian banana). Its description in RNAcentral is "mir-166 microRNA precursor family". It matches the Rfam family "mir-166 microRNA precursor family". From Rfam's summary of the family: This family represents the plant microRNA (miRNA) precursor mir-166. Animal miRNAs are transcribed as ~70nt precursors and subsequently processed by the Dicer enzyme to give a ~22nt product. The record is from Rfam by way of RNAcentral. Lineage: Eukaryota; Viridiplantae; Streptophyta; Magnoliopsida; Zingiberales; Musaceae.
GCUGAGGGGAAUGUUGUCUGGCUCGAAGCCACUGCAACACAGAACAGUACCUCAAUUCUUGCCUUGUCGUCAUGAAUGGAUUCGGACAAGGCUUCAUUCCCCUCAAC